GACGAACGCUGGCGGCGUGCUUAACACAUGCAAGUCGAACGGAAAGGCCCUGCUUUUGUGGGGUGCUCGAGUGGCGAACGGGUGAGUAACACGUGAGUAACCUGCCCUUUACUUUGGGAUAACUUCAGUAAACUGGGGCUAAUACCGGAUAGGAGCUCCUGCUGCAUGGUGUUGGUUGGAAAGUUUCGGCGGUUGGGGAUGGACUCGCGGCUUAUCAGCUUGUUGGUGGGGUAGUGGAUUACCAAGGCUUUGACGGGUAGCCGGCCUGAGAGGGUGACAGGCCACAUUGGGACUGAGAUAGGGCCCAGAGUCAUACGGGAGGAAGGAGCGGGGAAUAUUGCAAAAUGGGCGGAAGCAUGAUGCAGCAACGUCGGGUGCGGGAUGACGGUCUUCGGGUUGUAACCCGCUUUAGCCUGUGACGAAGAGUGAGUGACGGUAAUGGGUAAAGAAGCACCGGCUAACUACGUG
Molecule: ribosomal RNA, 468 nt
Filed under: uncultured bacterium
Lineage: Bacteria
Description: partial 16S ribosomal RNA
Rfam family: Bacterial small subunit ribosomal RNA
Source: RNAcentral